GUGCUCGCUUCGGCAACCCGUAUACUAAAAUUGGAACGAUACAGAGAAGGUUGGCAAGGCCCCCGCGUUAGGAUCACAUGCAAAUUCAUAAAGCGUUUGAUAAAGAA
Pantherophis guttatus is the source of this 107-nucleotide small nuclear RNA. The record is from RefSeq and is a predicted model, not a curated record. Lineage: Eukaryota; Metazoa; Chordata; Lepidosauria; Squamata; Colubridae.